This is a long non-coding RNA of Cervus elaphus (red deer), 2195 nucleotides long. RefSeq lists it as uncharacterized. Lineage: Eukaryota; Metazoa; Chordata; Mammalia; Artiodactyla; Cervidae. The record is from RefSeq and is a predicted model, not a curated record. The transcript is spliced from 4 exons.
AGCAAGGCCAAGCAGAGAAGCAGGGCAGCUGUCAGGAGAAUUCAGGCUGGGGUGGGCUGAGUGCCUGGGCCGGCAGCCUGCAACAGGGAGGAACCCUGCACAACCGUGACCCACCCCUCGUCCAGCUGCUUGGGAGGAGGAAGGAAACUAGCAUUUUCCCACUGCCAUUGUGUGCCUGACAGGUUCAUCAAUCUUAGCUCAGCGCAUCCUCUUAACCUCUCAAGCUGGUUGAGAGGCUCUUUUUUUUUUUAACCAAAGAGGAAGAGGAGAGGAGAAGCGUCCAAGGGCACGGGGAGGCACGGAGCCAGCCUACAAGCCUGGAGUCUCGAUGCCGAAGCCCACCUUCCUUCCAUGGCUUUGGAUAGACCUCGCUGGCCCAGCCGCAUAUCAGCGGCAGCAUCUGGCUUAUCCUUAAUCAACACGUGCGUGGCCAGAGGAGACAGAAAUGCUCGAAGAGGCAGCCAGCUCCUGGCGCUGAUGGCUUAACAAAAGGGGAAGCUUGAGCCCAAGCCUCCUUCCUGGUUCGAGUAUCCCUCGCUGGCCGACCCCGUCUUUCACCUUCCGGCUCCCAGGGACCUGGACAGACCCUUGGCCUGGAGGGGGCAGCCUGUCCCAGUGCCAGCUCAGCGGGCUUGGCCCUUGUAACAAUAGCUGGAAGGGCCUUUUGGAGCAAGUACUUCCUGAAGUGCCCAGAACAGCCGCCGCCGUCCUGGGGCGCAGGAACAAUCACCGCGCAGGCCAGCUCCCGCCCUCCUGGGAGCCUCGGGGACUGAGGCUUCGGGCUCCAGGAGGGCUGCGAGGGUCAGGAGGGCCAGGCAGACCCGAAGAGCAGGGCUCGGACCGACCACGAGCCUGCACAGUGCAGGCUUUGUAAACAGGGAAAGGGAAAAGGAAAAAACAAAAAACAGCCAAAAGGAAGAAAUAAUUUCUGGAAUCAGAUGAUGCACUCAUUUAAUCAUUCAGCAACACUGAAGGAGGCCUGAUCUGUGCCUCCAGUCCAUCAGUCACAACCAUGAGUGAGGAGUGAAUGAAAUUCUCUGAUGACGUGGAGAUGCUUCCUCACGAUGGUGAACUCUUCCUGAAUAUUGUAGGAAAAGACACUGAAGGGCAGGCAUGAGGCUGGAAAGGCAGAAGGAGUCUCUAGAAAUAGGAUCCCUACUUUCUUCCUCUGGGAGACUGGUGUAACACUGACCUCUAGCUGGAUGGAGAGAGUGAAUUCAGCUGGUGCCUCUACUCUGGCUGGAUGUUGUCGAACGUUGGCUGGUGUGAAAAAAAAAGAGAACGUUUGGAAAUCUCUUCCUUAAGGAUGUUUCCGGAUCAUGUAGAAGGAAAUUCAAGAGCCAUAAUAUUCUGGCUUCCAGCGUGACACGUGACCAGAGUAGGUGUCCAUCCCAAACCAGGAGCCUUCCUCUUCAUCUCUCAGUUCAUAGGCAGGCCUCCUUCUGGACCCAGGAGAGGAAAUGACAGAAGAUAACAGAUAUGGAAGUGAGCUGGAAGGUUAAAAUAUAAUUCCUCACAGACACAAAACUUUAGAAAAAUUCCUGUUCUCUUUUAGAUUAAUUUAACAUAACAAAUCGAGACACAUGUGAGACUCUGUCAUCAGGACAGAGAUCUCCUGGUGAUGUUAAUAUAUCACAUCUCUUUCACAUUGUCACCAAUACAGAAAGAACCCCAAAGUUGUACGUGUUGUACCAAUAUUGCCGGGCAGUCAACAACUGGUUUCCCUUAAACAUCGCUGUUUCCAAUUCUUCUAAAAUUACAGAUCGUACUUGUUUUGUUUCACAUGUGUGUGUUUUCCCCUUUUGGUAACUGAAAGCAGGUUUAUCUGUGACUCUUUUGGCGUAGAUAAUUUUUGCUAAUUGGUCUUUUAAUGUCUUACACAUUGACUAGGAGUUUAUUGACUCUUGUUUAUAAAUGAAUACUAAUAAAGACAGGUGACAUAAUCAUCAUAUUUAAGGAUUUCUGGUAUGGUUAGCAUUUGAACAAUGACCUAUAAUUUGCUAGCAUCAAUGUCUCAUUUGUAGAAAUGGAAGAGUCAUUCUCACAUUCUGUUUCAUAACAUUUGUUUAUGCAGACUUGCAGCACAAGUUAAUUAUGGGAACCUAAAGGAAUAGUCACAUGAUUGUCUUCUCUAGAUAGGCUUUUGCUUUCGACAUCUGAACCCCUGUACUAUCACUCCUUAAAAUGAUUCAAUA